UACGUAGGGACCAAGCGUUGUUCGGAUUUACUGGGCGUAAAGGGCGCGUAGGCGGCAAUUCAAGUCAUCUGUGAAAUCUCCGGGCUUAACUCGGAAUGGUCAGGUGAUACUGCUUUGCUAGAGUGCAGAAGGGGCAAUCGGAAUUCUUGGUGUAGCGGUGAAAUGCGUAGAUAUCAAGAGGAACACCUGAGGUGAAGACGGGUUGCUGGGCUGACACUGACGCUGAGGUGCGAAAGCGUGGGGAGCAAACAGG
RNAcentral lists this ribosomal RNA (253 nucleotides) under uncultured bacterium. Its description in RNAcentral is "partial 16S ribosomal RNA". It matches the Rfam family "Bacterial small subunit ribosomal RNA", at positions 524 to 776 of the family's 1533-position model. The record is from RNAcentral.